GUGAAUCAUCAAAUUUUUGAACGCAAAUUGCGCUCCCUGGCAUCCCGGGGAGUAUGCCGGUUUGAGGGUCAGUAUUAACAAAAAAUCGGUUUGGUUGCGAAUUGUGACGUUUCCGGAGUUUGGUCUAUCUUAACUUUUUUGGUUAAGGGGCUUAAAAUUUACCUUAUUUGCGCUCUUUUAUACUUACAUAAAUUUUUGUUUGAUUCGUCUAUUCUUAAUGCGAAAUUCUUACUAUAUGCG
This 240-nucleotide unclassified non-coding RNA is filed under the name Glomeraceae sp. RNAcentral describes it as "partial contains 5.8S ribosomal RNA and internal transcribed spacer 2". The stretch from base 1 to 71 matches the Rfam family "5.8S ribosomal RNA", at positions 84 to 154 of the family's 154-position model. Lineage: Eukaryota; Fungi; Glomeromycota; Glomeromycetes; Glomerales; Glomeraceae. The record is from RNAcentral.